AGGGGAGCGCCGAAUCCUGGGCUGUGUCCCCGGUGCCUUGUGCUCCGGGGCCUGUGCUGCUGGAAUCUCGUUCCCAGGUCCAGGUAGUCUCCU
Molecule: microRNA precursor, 93 nt
Filed under: Canis lupus familiaris (dog)
Lineage: Eukaryota; Metazoa; Chordata; Mammalia; Carnivora; Canidae
Also listed under: 1 other name
Description: mir-8799 microRNA precursor family
Rfam family: mir-8799 microRNA precursor family
Source: Rfam by way of RNAcentral